This 405-nucleotide ribosomal RNA is filed under the name uncultured Candidatus Solibacter sp. RNAcentral describes it as "bacterial SSU rRNA". It matches the Rfam family "Bacterial small subunit ribosomal RNA", at positions 354 to 776 of the family's 1533-position model. Lineage: Bacteria; Pseudomonadati; Acidobacteriota; Terriglobia; Bryobacterales; Solibacteraceae. The record is from RNAcentral.
GUGGGGAAUCUUGCACAAUGGGGGAAACCCUGAUGCAGCGACGCCGCGUGAGUGAUGAAGCCCUUCGGGGUGUAAAGCUCUUUCGACAGGGACGAUAAUGACGGUACCUGGAGAAGCAGCUGCGGCUAACUACGUGCCAGCAGCCGCGGUAAUACGUAGGCAGCAAGCGUUGUUCGGAGUUACUGGGCGUAAAGGGUGCGUAGGCGGCCCUAUAAGUAUGGUGUGAAAUCUCCCGGCUUAACUGGGAGGGUGCGCCGUAGACUGUGGGGCUAGAGUGUGGGAGAGGAAAGUGGAAUUCCUGGUGUAGCGGUGAAAUGCGUAGAUAUCAGGAGGAACACCGGUGGUGUAAACGGCUUUCUGGACCAUAACUGACGCUGAGGCACGAAAGCGUGGGUAGCAAACAGG